GCUUGACUGUAGCUUGUAAUUGGGUUCGGGCUUUUUUUGCGCAGCCUAGGUGGGAGGCAACGAUGAUUUUUUUCCGGAAAAAUUUGAGCCGAUUACGUGAGAGACCACUCUGAAAAGGCUAGAAUCCUAAUAAUGAUCCUUGAAUCAGGACAUUCGACAGUUGCAGGUGGGCAGUUUUACUGGGGCGGUAUUCUCCUAAAAAGUAACGGAGGGGGUGCAAAGGUUCCCUCAAGCCUGGACGGAAAUCAGCUUAAGAGUGUAAAGGCAAAAGGGAGCUUGACUGCAAGACCUACAAGUCGAGCAGGGGCGAAAGCCGGCCUUAGUGAUCCGACGGUACCACGUGGAAGGGCCGUCGCUCAACGGAUAAAAGUUA
Molecule: ribosomal RNA, 373 nt
Filed under: uncultured alga
Lineage: Eukaryota
Description: partial 23S ribosomal RNA
Rfam family: Bacterial large subunit ribosomal RNA
Source: RNAcentral